RNAcentral lists this long non-coding RNA (540 nucleotides) under Polistes fuscatus (common paper wasp). Its description in RNAcentral is "uncharacterized LOC122516863". Lineage: Eukaryota; Metazoa; Arthropoda; Insecta; Hymenoptera; Vespidae. The record is from RNAcentral.
UCAAAGCAAUAAACAUAUGGUUAAAAAAAAAAGAAAAAAAAACAAAACCAAAAUUAAAUUAAAUUAAAUCGUAAGUCACAAAACACGCUGAAUAUCUUUAUCAAUAAAGUAGGUAUAACAUCUUAAUCUGAAUUUUUUAUAGUCACUUAGAGCUAUGAUAUCUUCCGGUAGUUGAUUCCAAAUACGAACAGCAGUAACCAAAAAUGAUUUGUCAUAAGUCCUGGUUCUUGCAUAAGACUAGCAGUCGCACCAUCGACAAUAUCUAAUGUGGAUGGCUUUUGUUCUCCAGGUACUACAGAAAAUGUAAAUCUUUGUAAGAGACAAGCUAUUACAAUGAAUAAAUUACUUCUUGCUAAUGUUUCUCCCAUACAGCGAUGGCGACCUGUUACGAGUAUAAAUAUAUUUAUCAAUUUUAUCUUUCUUAUUAUUUUUUUUAUUAUUUUUAAUUGUAUUUUAUAUAAACGUACCUAUACUGAAUGGAAAAUAUUGAUCUUGUACAGAAAUUUUACCAUUUUUAUCAAUAAAUCUUUCUGGUCUGAA